CCUACGGGAGGCAGCAGUGGGGAAUAUUGCGCAAUGGGCGAAAGCCUGACGCAGCGACGCCGCGUGAGGGAUGAAGGUCUUCGGAUCGUAAACCUCUGUCAGCAGGGCAGAACGGUCACUGUGCUAAUCAGCAGUGAAUUGACGGUACCUGCAAAGGAAGCACCGGCUAACUCCGUGCCAGCAGCCGCGGUAAUACGGAGGGUGCGAGCGUUAAGCGGAAUUACUGGGCGUAAAGCGCUCGUAGGCGGUAUGUCAAGUCAAGGGUGAAAGCCCCGCGCUCAACGUGGGAACGGCCUUUGAAACUGGCAAACUGGAGUGUGUGAGAGGAUAGUGGAAUUCCAGGUGUAGGAGUGAAAUCCGUAGAUAUCUGGAGGAACAUCAGUGGCGAAGGCGACUAUCUGGCACAUAACUGACGCUGAGGAGCGAAAGCGUGGGUAGCAAACAGGAUUAGAUACCCGAGUAGUC
RNAcentral lists this ribosomal RNA (465 nucleotides) under uncultured bacterium. RNAcentral's name for it is "partial 16S ribosomal RNA". It matches the Rfam family "Bacterial small subunit ribosomal RNA", at positions 338 to 795 of the family's 1533-position model. The record is from RNAcentral.